UAGUUUUACCUACUGAUGAUGUGUUG
Molecule: non-coding RNA, 26 nt
Filed under: Mus musculus (house mouse)
Lineage: Eukaryota; Metazoa; Chordata; Mammalia; Rodentia; Muridae
Source: RNAcentral